RNAcentral lists this ribosomal RNA (559 nucleotides) under uncultured bacterium. RNAcentral's name for it is "bacterial SSU rRNA". It matches the Rfam family "Bacterial small subunit ribosomal RNA", at positions 119 to 674 of the family's 1533-position model. The record is from RNAcentral.
CGGAAUCUGCCUAUUUGUGGGGGAUAACGUAGGGAAACUUACGCUAAUACCGCAUACGACCUACGGGUGAAAGCGGAGGACCUUCGGGCUUCGCGCAGAUAGAUGAGCCGAUGUCGGAUUAGCUAGUUGGCGGGGUAAAGGCCCACCAAGGCGACGAUCCGUAGCUGGUCUGAGAGGAUGAUCAACCACACUGGAACUGAGACACGGUCCAGACUCCUACGGGAGGCAGCAGUGGGGAAUAUUGGACAAUGGGCGCAAGCCUGAUCCAGCCAUGCCGCGUGGGUGAAGAAGGCCUUCGGGUUGUAAAGCCCUUUUGUUGGGAAAGAAAAGCAGUCGGUUAAUACCCGAUUGUUCUGACGGUACCCAAAGAAUAAGCACCGGCUAACUUCGUGCCAGCAGCCGCGGUAAUACGAAGGGUGCAAGCGUUACUCGGAAUUACUGGGCGUAAAGCGUGCGUAGGUGGUUUGUUAAGUCUGAUGUGAAAGCCCUGGGCUCAACCUGGGAAUUGCAUUGGAUACUGGCAGGCUAGAGUGCGGUAGAGGGUAGUGGAAUUCCCGGU